Labeo rohita (rohu) is the source of this 475-nucleotide long non-coding RNA. RefSeq lists it as uncharacterized. The record is from RefSeq and is a predicted model, not a curated record. The transcript is spliced from 3 exons. NCBI's taxonomy places the organism in Eukaryota, Metazoa, Chordata, Actinopteri, Cypriniformes, Cyprinidae.
CUGAGAUCCGUCAUAGCGAAGCUGAAGUCUCCCAACUUUGUUCCCGAGUGAGGAAUUAACAGACUUCAGCAUCUGAUGGGAUUUCAGACACGCCACAGAAGCCAAACCUCAGCAAUCCGGGCACGUAGUUUAUAGAUUGAGACGCGUUUGAUCUGCCGGCGUGGCAAUUAGCCGAGGAUGAAGCACCUGAGAGCUGAGAGCAGCAGAGACUGGAGUUAAUGGGACGAGAUGAACGGAGUCGCCGCGGGACGCGCUCGCUUCUGCUGCCCGAGCAUCAGUCACACACACAAACACACACCGCAUGGAGAACACGUGCCGUCUGCUCUCGACGGCGCAGAGGCGCUUUGAUGGAUGCAUGUGAUCGUUCUGCAUCAGAGACAAGCGUAUUUCAGCAUGUCGGGCCUCAGGGCGUCAUUAUGACCCUCGUUUGAUGAGAAACGUGUCCGUCUGUGGAUGUUUAACAGCACACAUCAAG